This 245-nucleotide ribosomal RNA is filed under the name uncultured bacterium. Its description in RNAcentral is "partial 16S ribosomal RNA". It matches the Rfam family "Bacterial small subunit ribosomal RNA", at positions 524 to 768 of the family's 1533-position model. The record is from RNAcentral.
UACGUAGGUGGCAAGCGUUGUCCGGAUUUACUGGGCGUAAAGGAUGCGUAGGCGGAUAUGUAAGUCAGAUGUGAAAUUCCCGGGCUUAACUUGGGAACUGCAUUUGAAACUGCAUGUCUAGAGUGCAGGAGAGGAAAGUGGAAUUCCUAGUGUAGCGGUGAAAUGCGUAGAGAUUAGGAAGAACACCAGUGGCGAAGGCGACUUUCUGGACUGUAACUGACGCUGAGGCAUGAAAGCGUGGGGAG